Arvicola amphibius (Eurasian water vole) is the source of this 414-nucleotide long non-coding RNA. RefSeq lists it as uncharacterized. The transcript has 2 exons. The record is from RefSeq and is a predicted model, not a curated record. NCBI's taxonomy places the organism in Eukaryota, Metazoa, Chordata, Mammalia, Rodentia, Cricetidae.
GCGAAGCAAAAGAGGAGGUCAGAGAAUAGAAGGAAAACAGCAAGCAGUGGCGUGGAAGCAAAACGAAGGGAGGAGUUUGGCCACGAGAAUCUAGUAUUAGAGAGAGCAUGGAUACAGCUGGGCAGGAAUGGUCAAUUAGCUAAAGAAAGCUCCACUGCAGGAGAGGCAACGGCUCAACCAUUCUCUCACUUGGGUCUCUGGACAGUGCAUGACUCUAGAUGGGCUCCCAGUUGCUGUGAUUAGAGGCAUGCAUGAACAUUCUCUUGGCUCUGAACUGACCUCAGGGACUUACUUGCAAUCAAGAGACCAUAACAAAGAAUAUACUGGAGACUGGGAAGAUAAAGUGGCAAUCUCUGUAACUGAUGAUUACACAUUAUGCUGCUCACUCUCAUUGUGGCUGUAUUGAAAAUUGAA